CUUAUGAAGAAAGGUGGAGGGAUUGGCCCUAGGAAACCUUGGCAACCUGCAUAUUCAAAUGAAAAGGUGCCAAAUCCACUCGGUACUACCGAAAAGAUAAG
RNAcentral lists this non-coding RNA (101 nucleotides) under marine eukaryotic metagenome. RNAcentral's name for it is "SAM riboswitch (S box leader)". It matches the Rfam family "SAM riboswitch aptamer (S box leader)". From Rfam's summary of the family: The SAM riboswitch is found upstream of a number of genes which code for proteins involved in methionine or cysteine biosynthesis in Gram-positive bacteria. The SAM riboswitch acts at the level of transcription termination control. The predicted structure consists of a complex stem-loop region followed by a single stem loop terminator region. The record is from RNAcentral.